Long non-coding RNA from Solanum lycopersicum (tomato), 1574 nucleotides. RefSeq lists it as uncharacterized. Lineage: Eukaryota; Viridiplantae; Streptophyta; Magnoliopsida; Solanales; Solanaceae. The record is from RefSeq and is a predicted model, not a curated record.
UUUUUUUGUGUUGAAAGACCAAAACAAAACCACACAUAAAAUGUUAUGUUAUGUUAUUAUAUAUGAAUAUGAAUGUUCGAUCACAUUUCAUAGAAACAACAGACCAAAAAAAAAACAAAUAAUAGAAGGAACAGCCAAAUCAAUAAGAGGAAUUAGAGUUGAAGAAAGUAGGAAGACACACUCCAUUGAGAUUACCUCAAUAGAUGACCAAAUUCCACUACUUCUUCAAAUUGAAAAAGAUGAGGUAAUUUUUUUCAUUAACCCACUUUUAUUAGGGGCAAUAUAAGGAAAUAAUAUAUAGAUGUGUCCUUUAACUUGAUUUCAAUUUACAUAUAUGCCUCCAACUCUGGAUAUACCUAAUAGACACUUAAACCUGUAUAAAAUUAAACAAGUAAACAGAUACGUCAUAUGUGACUAUGACUCUAAACCAUUAUAAAUUGAAGAAGAGAGGAAAGUGGAUCAUUUAAUUGACAUAAAGUACACAAACAAGAUCCAUUAGGAUCACAGACAAAGGAAUUUGUAAAUCAAAUGUUUGAUUUAGACAAUUUGUCUAUUGAAUCGAGUACCAUAUUCAAAGUAAAUGUGUGGCUACGUGAAUCAAAUCUAGUUGCUUAGAUGGUCUCUAUUGGUCCUUACCACAAGAGAAAAUCACCAACUUGGUCUAAUGAAAAAGUACAAAUUAUUGUACCUACAAUGAUUUCUUCAACGAAAAGAGGGGCUUGAUAUCGGAAGUUGCAUUAGUGAAUUGGAGAAACAGAAGGAGGAAGUGGUGAAGUGUUAUAAUGAUAUAGAAGACCUAGAUAGUGAUAAUAGUCAUGAAUUUUUGUCAAAUGUCGUUGCUCGAUGGUUAUUUUGUGAUUGAGUUUAUUUGAGAGUGUCAUGAAGUAUAUUCACAAGUAAAACGAUUAUAAAUAUUAGUGAUACUUACAUAUUUCGAGAGUUGAUGUUACUUGAAAAUCAACUUCCUUUCUUUGUCCUCGACAAACUUCAUGACAUGAAUUACCAUUGGCAAUACUAGUGGGUAAUUCAUUUACCUUUUUCAUUGACUUGCCAAAAAUGACCCUUGAAUCCUUUAAAGAGACAAAAUUAUAUGCAAAAGAUAUCAAACAUUUACUACAUUUAGUAUACAUAUUUUCAUGUCAAGGGAAAGUCGUCCGAUGACAUAACAUGGCAUAUGGUUAUGCCAAAUGCAACAGAGCUUUCUGUUAUGACAAUAAAAACAAAGAUAAUAUUGGCGCGAUACGACAAAAUUUAUUUGAUAGUAUAAAGUUUGAGAAAGGAUUGAUGGAAAUCCAUCCUGCGAAAUCUCAUUGCUUAUGAGCAACAAUCAUCCAAUGUGAUGCCAAAAUAUUUCCAUGGAACAGAAUGAAGGCAAAUUUAGAGCAUAAUUAUUUUAGUCGUCCUUGGGUAGGAGCUUCAACUGUGACAGCCAUCGUACUUCUCAUACUCACUACUAUACAGACUAUUUUAGCUAUCACAUGUGCAAAUUUGUAAGUAGUAAUUAUCAUGAUUGUCUCAAUUUUAGUGUCUCCAAUUUGCAUUUAUGUUGAUGAACUUAUGAGAUUUUCAUGUCC